GUGCGAUCCGGCGACGGGCUACAAGGUGAGCGCACUCACGGGCUGCCGGGCAAUGGUGAAGCUCCAGUGUGUGGGCAGUCAGGUGCCCGAGGCUGUCCUAAGAGAUUGCUGCCAGCAGCUGGCCGACAUCAACAACGAAUGGUGCAGGUGCGGGGACCUCAGCAGCAUGUUGCGUAGUGUUUAUCAGGAGCUCGGCGUGCGUGAGGGGAAGGAGGUGCUCCCAGGUUGCCGGAAGGAGGUGAUGAAGCUCACGGCGGCGAGCGUGCCUGAGGUCUGCAAGGUGCCCAUUCCCAACCCGUCGGGAGACAGAGCAGGUGUCUGCUACUGGGCCGCGUAUCCGGACGUCUAGUCAAGCGAAUCUGCAUCUUAAUUGGUGCGGUGCGUGCGCACAAGAUAAAUAAAAUUAAGUAAUGGUGCGGUGCGUGCGCACAAGAUAAAUAAAAUUAAGUAAUGGUGUAUGUGCCUCUGCGAGAUGCAUGGGUCAUGAAUAAAUGUGAACUUUGUUUCCUGUUGAUGGAUUACACUAGUAUCUCAGAUUUGUACCUUACCAAUCACGCAUGCCCUCUUAUCCUUGUUCUGAAGCCUUAAUUUGGCUAUACGUACUGCGGCGAGAUGUUGUUGUAAGAACAUUAGCAAGUCG
RNAcentral lists this long non-coding RNA (640 nucleotides) under Triticum aestivum (bread wheat). Its description in RNAcentral is "long non-coding RNA (TAES_LNC012787)". Lineage: Eukaryota; Viridiplantae; Streptophyta; Magnoliopsida; Poales; Poaceae. The record is from RNAcentral.